This 22-nucleotide microRNA is filed under the name Heliconius melpomene (postman butterfly). The record is from RNAcentral. Lineage: Eukaryota; Metazoa; Arthropoda; Insecta; Lepidoptera; Nymphalidae.
UCACUGGGUUAGUGAUUACUGC